Potamilus streckersoni is the source of this 73-nucleotide non-coding RNA. NCBI's taxonomy places the organism in Eukaryota, Metazoa, Mollusca, Bivalvia, Unionida, Unionidae. The record is from the annotation of a GenBank genome assembly.
GUUCUGGUGGCCUAGUGGUUAGAGCGUCAGUUUCGGAUGCGAGAGGUCGUGGGUUCGAUUCCCAGUCGAAUCA